CUGCAGGCGACGAGUUCUGAUUAUUGAAAGGUGCUUGCAUCUUGAUUUAAUUUUGAACGAGUGGCGGACGGGUGAGUAACACGUGGGUAACCUGCCCUUAAUGGGGGGAUAACAUUUGGAAACAGAUGCUAAUACCGCAUAAAUCCAAGAACCGCAUGGUUCUUGGCUGAAAGAUGGCGUAAGCUAUCGCUUUUGGAUGGACCCGCGGCGUAUUAGCUAGUUGGUGAGGUAACGGCUCACCAAGGCAAUGAUACGUAGCCGAACUGAGAGGUUGAUCGGCCACAUUGGGACUGAGACACGGCCCAAACUCCUACGGGAGGCAGCAGUAGGGAAUCUUCCACAAUGGACGCAAGUCUGAUGGAGCAACGCCGCGUGAGUGAAGAAGGCUUUCGGGUCGUAAAACUCUGUUGUUGGAGAAGAAUGGUCGGCAGAGUAACUGUUGUCGGCGUGACGGUUUCCAACCAGAAAGCCACGGCUAACUACGUGCCAGCAGCCGCGGUAAUACGUAGGUGGCAAGCGUUAUCCGGAUUUAUUGGGCGUAAAGCGAGCCCAAGCGGUUUUUCAAGUCUGAUGUGAAAAUCCCUCGGCUUAACCGAGGAAGUGCAUCGGAAACUGGGAAACUUGAGUGCAGAAGAGGACAGUGGAACUUCCAUGUGUAGCGGUGAAAUGCGUAGGUAUAUGGAAGAACACCAGUGGCGAAGGCGGCUGUCUGGUCUGUAACUGACGCUGAGGCUCGAAAGCAUGGGUAGCGAACAGGAUUAGAUACCCUGGUAGUUCAUGCCGUAAACGAUGAAUGCUAGGUGUUGGAGGGUUUCCGCCCUUCAGUGCCGCAGCUAACGCAUUAAGCAUUCCGCCUGGGGAGUACGACCGCAAGGUUGAAACUCAAAGGAAUUGACGGGGGCCCGCACAAGCGGUGGAGCAUGUGGUUUAAUUCGAAGCAACGCGAAGAACCUUACCAGGUCUUGACAUCUUUUGAUCACCUGAGAGAUCAGGUUUCCCCUUCGGGGGCAAAAUGACAGGUGGUGCAUGGUUGUCGUCAGCUCGUGUCGUGAGAUGUUGGGUUAAGUCCCGCAACGAGCGCAACCCUUAUGACUAGUUGCCAGCAUUUAGUUGGGCACUCUAGUAAGACUGCCGGUGACAAACCGGAGGAAGGUGGGGAUGACGUCAAAUCAUCAUGCCCCUUAUGACCUGGGCUACACACGUGCUACAAUGGAUGGUACAACGAGUUGCGAGACCGCGAGGUCAAGCUAAUCUCUUAAAGCCAUUCUCAGUUCGGACUGUAGGCUGCAACUCGCCUACACGAAGUCGGAAUCGCUAGUAAUCGCGGAUCAGCACGCCGCGGUGAAUACGUUCCCGGGCCUUGUACACACCGCCCGUCACACCAUGAGAGUUUGUAACACCCGAAGCCGGUGGCGUAACCCUUUUAGGGAGCGAGCCGUCUAAGGUGGGACAAAUGAUU
RNAcentral lists this ribosomal RNA (1459 nucleotides) under Lacticaseibacillus rhamnosus. RNAcentral's name for it is "bacterial SSU rRNA". It matches the Rfam family "Bacterial small subunit ribosomal RNA". The record is from RNAcentral. Lineage: Bacteria; Bacillati; Bacillota; Bacilli; Lactobacillales; Lactobacillaceae.